RNAcentral lists this ribosomal RNA (252 nucleotides) under uncultured bacterium. RNAcentral's name for it is "partial 16S ribosomal RNA". It matches the Rfam family "Bacterial small subunit ribosomal RNA", at positions 524 to 776 of the family's 1533-position model. The record is from RNAcentral.
CACGAAGGGGGCUAGCGUUGCUCGGAAUCACUGGGCGUAAAGGGCGCGUAGGCGGCGUUUUAAGUCGGGGUGAAAGCCUGUGGCUCAACCACAGAAUGGCCUUCGAUACUGGGACGCUUGAGUAUGGUAGAGGUUGGUGGAACUGCGAGUGUAGAGGUGAAAUUCGUAGAUAUUCGCAAGAACACCGGUGGCGAAGGCGGCCAACUGGACCAUUACUGACGCUGAGGCGCGAAAGCGUGGGGAGCAAACAGG